Molecule: ribosomal RNA, 458 nt
Filed under: uncultured bacterium
Lineage: Bacteria
Description: partial 16S ribosomal RNA
Rfam family: Bacterial small subunit ribosomal RNA
Source: RNAcentral
CCUACGGGAGGCAGCAGUGGGGAAUAUUGCACAAUGGGGGAAACCCUGAUGCAGCGACGCCGCGUGAGUGAAGAAGUAAUUCGUUACGUAAAGCUCUAUCAGCAGGGAAGAAAUACUGACCUUACGGUCAGCAGACGGUACCUGAGUAAGAAGCCCCUGCUUACUACGUGCCAGCAGCCGCGGUAAUACGUAGGGGGCAAGCGUUAUCCGGAUUUACUGGGUGUAAAGGGAGCGUAGACGGUGCGGCAAGUCUGGAGUGAAAUGCCGCAGCUUAACUGCGGAACUGCUUUGGAAACUGGCGAACUAGAGUGCGGGAGGGGUAAGCGGAAUUCCUAGUGUAGCGGUGAAAUGCGUAGAUAUUAGGAGGAACACCGGUGGCGAAGGCGGCUUACUGGACCGUAACUGACGUUGAGGCUCGAAAGCGUGGGGAGCAAACAGGAUUAGUUACCCUGGUAGUC